UUGAUCAUGGCUCAGAGUGANNCGCUGGCNNGUAGGCCUAACACAUGCAAGUCGAACGGCAGCACAGGGGAGCUUGCUCUCUGGGUGGCGAGUGGCGGACGGGUGAGGAAUACAUCGGAAUCUACUUUUUCGUGGGGGAUAACGUAGGGAAACUUACGCUAAUACCUGCAUACGACCUACGGGUGAAAGCAGGGGAUCUUCGGACCUUGCGCGAUUGAAUGAGCCGAUGUCGGAUUAGCUAGUUGNGCGGGGUAAAGGCCCACCAAGGCGACGAUCCUGUAGCUGGUCUGAGAGGAUGAUCAGACCGACACUGGAACUGAGACACGGUCCAGACUCCU
RNAcentral lists this ribosomal RNA (338 nucleotides) under uncultured bacterium. RNAcentral's name for it is "bacterial SSU rRNA". It matches the Rfam family "Bacterial small subunit ribosomal RNA", at positions 13 to 340 of the family's 1533-position model. The record is from RNAcentral.